Molecule: ribosomal RNA, 322 nt
Filed under: uncultured eukaryote
Lineage: Eukaryota
Description: partial 18S ribosomal RNA
Rfam family: Eukaryotic small subunit ribosomal RNA
Source: RNAcentral
CCCUUAGAUGUUCUGGGCCGCACGCGCGCUGCACUGAUGCAUUCAACGAGUGUACCUUGGCCGAGAGGCCUGGGCAAUCUUUUGAACGUGCAUCGUGAUAGGGAUAGAUUAUUGCAAUUAUUAAUCUUGAACGAGGAAUUCCUAGUAAACGCAGAUCAUCAAUCUGCAUUGAUUACGUCCCCGCCCUUUGUACACACCGCCCGUCGCACCUACCGAUUGGAUGGUCCGGUGAAGCCUCGGGAUUGUGGCGGUUGCCUUUAUUGGUGGCCGCCGCGAGAACUUGUCUAAACCUUAUCAUCUAGAGGAAGGUGAAGUCGUAACA